CACUACAGAAGGAGACGCUCGCGCUCUUUCGUCCCUUUUUGACCCGCUCGUAAGCUCCAACCAACCCUUUUCCCUCACUUCCUCGCCGGAAUGCCACUUCGUUUUCUCUCCAUCCAAACAUGAACUCGACGUCUUCCGCUCCGGCCUCCGCCUCCUCCUCUCUCCGCUUUCCCUCGGCUCGGCCUCCCGGUCCCCGCCGGAGGUUCGCUGCCCCGCCGUCGAGUAUAGAGAACAUCAGAUCCCGGGUCGCGGCGAGCUCUCUCGGCCUCGACGGCGACGCCCCCGGAUCCCCUCGCCCCUCAAGGCCGCUCCCCGGCGCCGCCGCGGCUCCCGAUCGGCUCCGGCGCCUGGCCUCGGAGUUCCGGUCCCUGGCGGAGCCGAUCGACAGGGUGAAGCGGCUCCUGCACUACGCGGCGAUCCUGCCUCCCUUCGACGAGUCCGCCCGGCUCGACGCGAACCGUGUCGCGGGCUGCGCGACCCGGGUGUGGCUCGACGUCGGGACGUACGGCGAGCCGCGCCACGGCGGCGGCAGGGGCGGGGGCGGGAGGAUGAGGUUCAGGGCGGACAGCGACUCGGAGAUCUCCAAGGGGUUCUGCUCGUGCCUGAUCUGGGCGCUGGACGAGGCGGAGCCGGAGGAGGUGAUCGCCGUGAGGGCGGAGGAUCUGGCGGCGAUCAACGUGGGCGUGGUGGCGCACUCGAGGGCGAACACGUGGCAGAACGUGCUGACGAGCAUGCAGAAGAGGACCGAAGCUCUGAUCAAGGAGAGAUCGGCGGAGUCCGAUUUGGAGCGGCCGGAGCCGGCGGAAGUCACAAGUCGAUAGGACCGCCGUGUAGAAAGCCUUGCGUAGCUCAUUCAACAUCUCAUGAUGAAAGACUUAUUCAAAUUGACAUGUGCGAUAGCCCCGAUGGUACCAGGUGCCCAUGCCAACAAGAAGCUUGAGCCUCACGAGGUGUAAAUAUAGUGGGUGUAAUCGAAUCGGGGUCGUUGUCCACAAUACUUAUCAUCUGUGCCCGGCUUGACUCGACCGUUAUACAUAGCUCGAGGCUCGACCCGUGUUGGGUCCGGUCUUGGAAGGGAAGAACUUGUUCCUAUAUCUCAAUUUUAAUCCGAACAUGGGUUUGACUGAACGAAACCACAGGAGCAACUAGAUUGCAUUCUUAUAUCCAAUUUGAGUCAAUUCGACUUAGAUUCUAUUUGUAAAUGAAUUUCAAUCCGAAUUGGGUCCUAUCUCGAGCUCAAAUUUGGAAAUGCAAAUGCUGAACUUAUUAUGAUCAAUUCACAAAUACAAUUGUCCCGGUGAACCAUCA
Syzygium oleosum is the source of this 1308-nucleotide RNA transcript. It is a transcript of the gene named sufE-like protein 2, chloroplastic, with no coding region annotated. The transcript has 3 exons. The record is from RefSeq and is a predicted model, not a curated record. NCBI's taxonomy places the organism in Eukaryota, Viridiplantae, Streptophyta, Magnoliopsida, Myrtales, Myrtaceae.